CGGAGACGUUCGGUGCGCGCUCGGCCGGCUGCUGCUCAUCGAUGGAAGCCUCGGUGGCUGCUCUGCCUGCGUCGCAUUUUUCUCUGGAUGCUUGUGUCGCUUCAGUCAUUUCCUGCAAGGCCAAACGCGGUGGAGCUUAUUGCCUCAGAUGACGCUGACUCACGCAAGAAACGUGUCAGCGCAUGGCGUCAGAAGUGGGCGGCGGUCAACUACCUUGCUGACGCCGUGAACGGCGGCACCGGAAAGGGAAAACAAGCCCGCGUCAGGACCAGGGAGCCAGCGUGGACGCCGUAGCCCGCCACAAACGCCCACAGCACAAUCGAGGACGGUCUGCACCGGCAACGCCCACCCGACGUCGGCCUGCCCGGCCAGAGCUUCCAAGUGCCAUAACUGUGACAACAGAGGACACUUUGCGAAAGCAUGCCUCAAGGAAGCGGUGCCAGCACAAAGAAAGAGCGUCGCCACCACCACGAGAGCCACGCACGCCGCAAGAGGGCGCCACUCUGUGCGCGGAACAGAAAAGGACGUGCAGCAAGGGUCCGUUACACGUUCG
This is a long non-coding RNA of Dermacentor albipictus, 553 nucleotides long. RefSeq lists it as uncharacterized. Lineage: Eukaryota; Metazoa; Arthropoda; Arachnida; Ixodida; Ixodidae. The record is from RefSeq and is a predicted model, not a curated record.